RNAcentral lists this ribosomal RNA (1142 nucleotides) under Acanthochitona avicula. Its description in RNAcentral is "partial 16S ribosomal RNA". The stretch from base 484 to 1142 matches the Rfam family "Eukaryotic large subunit ribosomal RNA", at positions 1891 to 3062 of the family's 3401-position model. Lineage: Eukaryota; Metazoa; Mollusca; Polyplacophora; Chitonida; Acanthochitonidae. The record is from RNAcentral.
ACGGCUUCAAACCGGUACCUCUUGCAYUAUGGCUUAACAAGAUUUUUGAGGGAAUUCCGAUUUCUAGAAAGAAAAAGAGCUAUAUGUGAACAAAAACGUGUGACACAACUCAAAUUGAUUUACCUAUAGAAGUGAAAAACUUGCCGAUUUUUCUGAUAGCUAGUUGAGAGAAAAAAGUGUAUUAGCACUAGACAAAAUAGAAUUUUCUUUAAAAAUUAUAAAAAAAUUUUAUUUUGAUCACAGUUUUUCAAGGACAAGCUUGAAAAAUAAAAGUAUUAAAAACGAAAUAAAAUAAAUAUAGGCUUAAAAGUUGCCAUUAUCAUAAGUGUUUUUUAACUCUAUCCAUUAACUAUUAUAUAAUAAUUCUUAGAUAAAUCUCUCCAUUUCAAAAAACUAUAAAUUUGAUAAAGUAUAUGUUAAGACGAGUAUUUCUAAAAAUAAAGUUUAAGUUAAAUCAAUUUUAAACUACCACCCCAAUAUCCUAUAUAAAUGUAAUAAAGGAACUCGGCAAAUAUAUGUUUCGCCUGUUUACCAAAAACAUCGCUCUUUGUUUCUAAAUAUAAAGAGUCGUGCCUGCCCAGUGAUAAUUUAAACGGCCGCAGUACCCUGACUGUGCUAAGGUAGCAUAAUCACUUGCUUUUUAAUUGAAAGCUAGAAUGAAUGGCUUGACGAAAACAUACCUGUCUCUUUUACAUUAACUAAAAACUAAUUUCUAGGUGAAAAAGCCUAGAUACCCUCAAAAGACGAAAAGACCCUAUCGAGCUUAAAAAUAAUGUUAAUUCAAUUUCUUAGUUAAAUUAAAAUUAAAAAUAAUUUUUAGUUGGGGCGACAAAAGAACACACAAAGCUUCUUUUAAUUUUAUAAACCCAUAGGUUUAAAAGAGCCAGUCAUACUGAAUAAAAGAAAAGUUACCGUAGGGAUAACAGCGUAAUUUCUUUGGAGAGACCAAAUUGAAAAAGAAGUUUGCGACCUCGAUGUUGGAUUAAAAAAUCUCUCUGAUGCAGCAGUCAGAGCAGAAGGUCUGUUCGACCUUUAAAUUUUUACAUGAUCUGAGUUCAAACCGGCGUAAGCCAGGUUGGUUUCUAUCUUUGAGAUAAUCGUUUAUAUUUUAGUACGAAAGGACCAAAUAUAAUAAAGAAUUU